Molecule: long non-coding RNA, 5326 nt
Organism: Jatropha curcas
Lineage: Eukaryota; Viridiplantae; Streptophyta; Magnoliopsida; Malpighiales; Euphorbiaceae
Source: RefSeq, a predicted model, not a curated record
CCGGGGAGUUAAUUAGUUCUCCCUUGAUGGGAAUUAGGGUUCUUUCUCUUGGGAAUUAGAGUUUCAUUUGUUUUGGCGUCUAGGGUUCCUUCUGAGGUUGUUGUUAUUCCUGACGAGGCUUGUUCUGAGGAUUUGAGUGAAGUUUAGCUAUGUAUUGCGGGAAAGCUAUGGAUUGAAUGUCCUUACAAUAAGUUUGAUCUUAUGGAUUUGAUGCAAAGGGUUUGGAAACCCAAACAUGGAGUUGUGAUGAGAGAGUGGAGUAAGGAGGUCCUGUUAUUCCAAUUCCAGCAUUGGCAGGAUCUGCAAUACGUACUAGUUUCACCUUGGCACUUUGAAAAGCAGAUUCUUGUUGUAAAACAAGUCACAGAUGAUGUGGACACUUAUACAAACAAUGUGAGUUACUGUCAGAUAGGAGGGAGGUUGAUCAGUUUGCUCUUGCUUUUGAUGAAGGAAUUAGGGCGUCUCCUUUUAGAAAAUCAGUAAGGCUAGCGACGGGUUUUGAAGGUUCUAAUUUUGUCACUCGCUAGUUGUUUCCCAAACCAACAUAAGGCAAAGUGGAUAAGCAUAUUCCAGCCGCACUAAAUAUUGACGUUUUAGGGAAUUAAGAGUGAAGUGAGAAUCAGGAGGCUCUUCUGAGUGCUACAGCGGCGGACACUGAUGAAGUAUUAAACAUGCUUGAGCAAAUGCAUGUUAGAACUGCGUUGCGCCAGGAUAGUUCAGGUACUGAUGAAGAUGAGUUUACCAGGUUGAUGGGGGGUACUAUUUUGACACAUGAUUCUGACCCGAUCUUGCAAGCUCAAAUUCCUUCGAUCCAGGUAACUAAAAAUAAAAGCCCCAAUUCAGCUGUGAACCUUCCCAUUCUAAAAAAUACUGCCACUGCCACCUCUGUCCCCAUAAAUUCUCCGGAUAAAAUAAAUUCCAAUAACCACAACUCCUGCACUGAACUAGGUUUUUACCAUGUUCCUAUUAUUCUCGAUUCCCCACCUGAUCAAUCCGUCCUCCUUGGACCCUUGCUUUGCUGCUAAUCUGGUUAAACCAUAUAAUUCCAUUUUUCUCCUCUUAAACCCGAUUUAGGCCCACCUUCUCAAAACAAAACUCCACCAAAAAUCUUGUGGAAACGUAUGGCCCGAAUAAAUCAAAUAUCGAUUUCCCCGUCAGACUUAGUGUUAGUUGGUGAGAGACGAAAAAGUGUUAUUCAGGGUGUUGCGCAACAGUUCGGUCAGGAGAUGGAUAUGGGUUUAAAGAAAUUAAAAAAAGAACAGGGGUAUUGUGAUUGUUGAUUUUGAUAAUUUAUCGGCGGAGGCAUUCGCAAUAAGUCUUUUACUAUGGAACUUUAGAGGGCUUAGGAACCAGGAUGCAAUUUGUCAAUUGAAGAAGGUUUGGGAUUAGCGUUCCGUGUGAUGAAAGGCUUGGUAGGAAAGGAGUUUUGGCUCUGUUCUGGUCUGAUUUUUUUCGAGUUAAGCUGUUGUCAUACUCGGAUCACCAUAUUGAUAUUGAGAUUGAUGAUACAUGGCAUUUUACGGGUUUUUAUGCUUAGUCUGACGAAUCGAAUAAGCACUUGUCUUAGGAUUUAUUGCGUCGAUUGGUAGGGAAUUAUGGUUUACCGUGGUUGUGCGGGGGAGACUUUAAUGAGAUUCUCUAUAACUAUGAAAAGAAAGGAGGGAACUCUCGUCCUCAAGCUAAAAUGGAUGCUUUUCAUUCUGUUUUGGACAGUAGCGGGUUAGGCGAUCUGAGUUACCAAGGGUAUAACUUCACUUGGUCGAAUGGUCAAGAAGGAGAAUCUCGCGGUUGAAGUGCGACUUGAUAGGAUCACAGCCUCCAUGACGUGGGUUAGUCUCUUUCUUGAGUACGCUAUAUCUCACUUAUUUCGUUUUUGCUCAGACCAUUGUCCCAUUUUCAUAUCUCUCUUGAAAUCGGCUGUUACUAAUUGUCGAAGAUGUAGACCUUUUAGAUUUGAAUCCAUAUGGUUGAGAGAUAGUACUUAUAGGGAGGUAGUACAACAAGCGCGGGAGGGUUCAGAGGAUUUUGGGUUUCGGGUUUCCAUUGAAGAUAAAUUUAAGAGAUGUAGUGUAGCUUUGAGAAAAUGGGAAAAAAAAAUUCAUUUUGGGCGUGUUUCAAAAGAAAUUUCGGAUUGUCAGAAGAAUCUCCAUGAGUUGCAGGUAGGAGUUCAGUGUAGAGAAAAUAUAGCUCUCUAAAAGAUUCCGGAAUCAAAUUUAAAAGAACUUUUAGCUAGGGAGGAGCUUAUGUGGCUUCAACGUUCUAGAAUUAAUUGGUUAAGGGAGGGGGAUAGAAAUACAACUUUUUUCCACCAGAAAGCUGAUGGUAGACAAAAAAGAAAUCAAGUUGUUAGCAUUCAAGAUGAAACGGGUCGACUUGUUGAUAAUGAAGAUGGCGUUCGUUUGGUUUUUUACAGAUAUUUUUGAGACUUAUUCACAUCUUCUAAUCCAUCUGCCUAUGAUAAUGUGUUGAAUUCAGUAGAGCCAAAGGUUUCUAUGGAUAUGAAUGUUGAUCUAUGCCGACCUUACAGUAAAGAGGAAAUUGUUGCGACUUUGCGUCAAAUGCAACCUUCCAAGGCUCCUAGGCCUGACGGUAUGCCUCCUCUAUUUUUUCAAAAAUUUUGGUCUAUUAUUUGAUCUUCUAUUGUGGAAAAAGUCUUGUCUGUUUUAAAUAAUGGUGAAUCUCCUGCAUUUAUAAAUCGAACCUUUAUUUUUUUGAUUCCUAAAGUAAAUGAUCCUUCUCUUACUUCUCAAUUUCGUCCUGUUAGUUUAUACAAUGUAUUUUUAAACUUAUUACCAAGGUCAUAGCUAAUAGGGUGAAAUUCAUUCUUUCGUAGGUUAUUAGUUAGUCUCAAUAUGCUUUUGUGCUUGGUCGUUUAAUUACUGAUAAUGCCUGAUAGCCUUUGAAAUUUUCCAUUAUACGAAGAAUAAAUCUAGUGGGCGAAAAUGCUUUUUUGCAUGUAAGCUUGAUAUGAACAAGGCUUAUGAUAGGGUAGAGUGGUGUUUUUUAAGAGAUCUGAUGCUAAAAAUGGGAUUUGUGAGUAGUUGGGUGGAUCUUGUGAUGAGAUGUGUUUCAACUGUUUCGUAUUCUAUUCUUAUUAAUGGAGAGCUUCACAAUUAUUUUUCUCCUAAUUGAGGGUUUAGACAAAGAGAUCCCCUCUCUCCAUAUCUAUUUCUUUUCUGUGCAGAAGCUUUUUCCAGUUUAAUCAGGCAAGCAGAAGUUAAUCGGCUAAUCCAUGGCGUGAAGAUCUGUCCAACAGCUCUAGCAAUUUCUCAUUUGUUUUUUUGCAGAUGACAAUAUUAUUUUUGGUAGAGCAAGUGUCGGAAGCGAAUGUAUUAAAGAAAAUUUUGGAGAUUUAUGAGAAGGCUUCCGGUUAGAAGAUAAAUCUGGAGAAAUCUGAAAUUUCAUUUAGUAAAAAUAUUUUCAUGGUGUCGCAAGAGGUGAUCUCCAAUUUGUUGGGAGUUAGAAGCAUAUCUGGCCACAGCAGGUAUCUAGGUUUACCAGCAAUUAUAGGGAGAAAAAAGAAGCAAGUGUUUAGCACCCUUGUUGAUAGGGUAGCCAAAAAACUAAAGAGAUGGAAGGAAUUAUUUCUCUCAAGAGCUGGUAAGGAAGUCUUGUUAAAGUCAGUGGUGCAAGCAAUCCCUAAUUACACUAUGUCCUGUUUUCUCUUACCAAAGGAUAUUUGUGCUAAAAUUGAAUCUUUAAUGGAUAAUUUUUAGUGGGGUCAGCGAAAAGAUGAGCGUCGUAUUCACUGGACUAGUUGGCAUUAACUAUGUUUAUCCAAGUUUUGGGGAGGUCUUGGGUUUAAGGAUCUGCACUCUUUUAAUCUGGCUAUGUUGGCUAAACAAUGUUGAAGAUUUUUAAACAAUGAUGAGUCGUUAGUUUUUAAAUUUUUUAGGGCCAAAUAUUUUCCUAACUGCUCUUUUUUGGAAGCACAGCCGGGUUAUCAACCUAGCUUCACUUGGAGAAUCAUUAUGGAAGCCAGAUGGAUCAUAGAAGAAGGGAGUAGAAGGGUCAUUGGUAAUGGUGUGAGUAUUCCCAUUUGGCGUGAUACAUGGGUUCCUGGUUUGCAUGAUUUUAGAAUCUCUUCUCAGCCAAAUCUGUUGGACGAGAAUGCAACUGUGAAUAAUUUAAUUGGUUUCAACACAGGGUGCUGGAAUGGGGAUCUUAUGGUAUCUUUGUUCUCAGAGGAGGAGGCCAAAUGUAUUGUGUGAAUACCUUUGUGUCUUCGUAGAGGAAUGGAUGUGCUCAAUUAGGUUCAUCACAAAUUAGGCCUUUUCAAUGCGAAGUCAGCUUAUAUGGCUGCGUUUAAUUCCGUAGUUUCGUCUAUAAUGUCCAGCUCUUCUCAGUGGAGUGAAGUCCCUUAUUAGAAACUCCUUUGGAACCUUCAUUUCCCCCCAAAGUUGAAGCACUUUUUUUUAUAGAGUCUGUUCCAGAAAGCUCCCUACUAAAUUAGCUUUACUUCAGCGAACUAUCCCAGUUGACCCUAUUUGUAGUGUUUGUGGAGAGGAAAAUGAGUCUGUGGAGCAUAUUCUCCUUCACUGCCCUGUGGCUCAAAGGGCUUGGAUGCUAAGUCCUCUUCGGCUUUCUAUCCGCUCAGAUGAGUCGUUAUUCAAGUCUUCGUUCUUUAAUCUCGUUGAUUCCUUUCAAUCGGAGCAGUUGGAGGUUGUGGUUGCUAUAGCCUGGAGUAUUUGGAAAUCGCAAAAUGCUUAGGUUGUUCUAGAAUAGUCAGCUUUCUAACCCUUUUAUAGUCAAUCAAGCACUAUCUAUGAUCCAUGACUUUCAAUCUUCAGGUAUGAAUUCUGUUUCUCCCCCAACUGCAGGUUUAGUACAGAAAUGGUCUCCCCUGAUUGGUACUUGUGUAAAAAUUAAUUGUGAUGCUGGUGUGUUGAAGGACUGAAAUUGUUGUGACAUUAGUUUUGUUAUUCGUAAUGAGAGAGGGGAAUUGAUGGCAACGAGGUUGACACAACUUGAUUGUGUCUUAGAGGUUCAGGAUGUUGAUGCAGACGCUGCCAUUUUUGCUCUAGAGUCAGCUCUUGCUCUAUCUUUCUCACAAAUUACUUUAGAAUCGGAUUGCCUUCUACUUCUUCGACAAUAUGCCUCAAAGAAGUUUCCCCCAGCUGAAUGGGGUACCAGAUUGAGUAGAAUUGCUGAUUUAGCUUCUCAUUUCCAAUUAUUUUCCUUUAAUUAUAUUCCUAGACAUUAUAAUCAGGUGGCCCAUAAGUUAAUGUCUUUGGCUUUAUCGGUUUAUUCUUCUGAGCACAUUUGGAUUGAAGAUGGUCCUAGUGCCAUUGUUCAUAUUAUUCAAGGUGACAUUUCAGCUUCUUUA